GUAAGGAAUAUUGGUCAAUGGGCGAAAGCCUGAACCAGCCAUCCCGCGUGCAGGAUGAAGGUCCUAUGGAUUGUAAACUGCUUUUAUCAGGGAAGAAACGCCUUCAUUCAUGGGGGUCUGACGGUACCUGAGGAAUAAGCACCGGCUAACUCCGUGCCAGCAGCCGCGGUAAUACGGAGGGUGCGAGCGUUAUCCGGAAUCACUGGGUUUAAAGGGUGCGUAGGCGGGGAAUUAAGUCAGUGGUGAAAGCCUGUCGCUUAACGAUAGAAUUGCCAUUGAUACUGAUUUUCUUGAAUUGGGUUGAGGUUAGCGGAAUGUGACAUGUAGCGGUGAAAUGCAUAGAUAUGUCAUGGAACACCAAUUGCGAAGGCAGCUAGCUGGGCCUUGAUUGACGCUGAGGCACGAAAGCGUGGGUAGCGAACAGGAUUAGAUACCCGAGUAGUCC
RNAcentral lists this ribosomal RNA (445 nucleotides) under uncultured bacterium. RNAcentral's name for it is "bacterial SSU rRNA". It matches the Rfam family "Bacterial small subunit ribosomal RNA", at positions 354 to 796 of the family's 1533-position model. The record is from RNAcentral.